UACGUAGGGGCGAAGCGUUGUCCGGAAUUACUGGGCGGUAAAGACGCAUGUAGGCGGGAGGGUGUGUCGAACGUGAAAGGCUGCGGCUCAACCGCAGAGCGCCGUUCGAAACUGCCCUUCUUGAGGGCCGAAGAGGAGAGUGGAAUUCCCGGUGUAGCGGUGAAAUGCGCAGAUAUCGGGAAGAACACCCAUGGCGAAGGCAGCUCUCUGGGACGGUACUGACGCUGAGACGCG
Molecule: ribosomal RNA, 234 nt
Filed under: uncultured bacterium
Lineage: Bacteria
Description: partial 16S ribosomal RNA
Rfam family: Bacterial small subunit ribosomal RNA
Source: RNAcentral